UGGUAGGUGAUGCCCUUCUUUGCCGGC
Molecule: small RNA, 27 nt
Filed under: Bombyx mori (domestic silkworm)
Lineage: Eukaryota; Metazoa; Arthropoda; Insecta; Lepidoptera; Bombycidae
Description: ovarian small RNA-35106
Source: RNAcentral